Molecule: non-coding RNA, 221 nt
Organism: Pelobates cultripes (western spadefoot toad)
Lineage: Eukaryota; Metazoa; Chordata; Amphibia; Anura; Pelobatidae
Source: the annotation of a GenBank genome assembly
GGAUGACCAACAUAUGCGAAAAUCACCCAGAUCAGUUCAGAGGUUCAGGAAUUUCCUGGAAGUCAUAGUUUUUACCGACCGCAGGCAUGGUCCCAUAGCCAAAAAUAGUUCCAGGGCAUUUGCGGCUAAGUCCCCUGUGAGAAACUCCCCUUUUUUAGGGAGUUUGCCAUGAGCUUUUGGAGAGGCCUGCUUGCCAGCCUCUUGCCCUGUGACUAUGGCCC